AUACAUGCAAGUCGAACGCACUUUCGUUGGAUGAAUUAGAGGUGCUUGCACCGAAGAUGAUUUUAGCUAUAAAGUGAGUGGCGAACGGGUGAGUAACACGUGGGUAACCUGCCCAGAAGUGGGGGAUAACACCUGGAAACAGAUGCUAAUACCGCAUAACAAAGUAAACCGCAUGGUUUACUUUUAAAAGAUGGCUUCGGCUAUCACUUCUGGAUGGACCCGCGGCGUAUUAGCUAGUUGGUGAGAUAAAGGCUCACCAAGGCAGUGAUACGUAGCCGACCUGAGAGGGUAAUCGGCCACAUUGGGACUGAGACACGGCCCAGACUCCUACGGGAGGCAGCAGUAGGGAAUCUUCCACAAUGGACGAAAGUCUGAUGGAGCAACGCCGCGUGAGUGAUGAAGGCUUUAGGGUCGUAAAACUCUGUUGUUGGAGAAGAACGUGUGUGAGAGUAACUGCUCAUGCAGUGACGGUAUCCAACCAGAAAGCCACGGCUAACUACGUGCCAGCAGCCGCGGUAAUACGUAGGUGGCAAGCGUUAUCCGGAUUUAUUGGGCGUAAAGCGAGCGCAGGCGGUCUUUUAAGUCUAAUGUGAAAGCCUUCGGCUUAACCGAAGAAGUGCAUUGGAAACUGGAAGACUUGAGUGCAGAAGAGGACAGUGGAACUCCAUGUGUAGCGGUGAAAUGCGUAGAUAUAUGGAAGAACACCAGUGGCGAAGGCGGCUGUCUGGUCUGUAACUGACGCUGAGGCUCGAAAGCAUGGGUAGCGAACAGGAUUAGAUACCCUGGUAGUCCAUGCCGUAAACGAUGAAUGCUAAGUGUUGGAGGGUUUCCGCCCUUCAGUGCUGCAGCUAACGCAUUAAGCAUUCCGCCUGGGGAGUACGACCGC
This 886-nucleotide ribosomal RNA is filed under the name Pediococcus parvulus. RNAcentral's name for it is "bacterial SSU rRNA". It matches the Rfam family "Bacterial small subunit ribosomal RNA", at positions 51 to 889 of the family's 1533-position model. The record is from RNAcentral. Lineage: Bacteria; Bacillati; Bacillota; Bacilli; Lactobacillales; Lactobacillaceae.